Oncorhynchus gorbuscha (pink salmon) is the source of this 1623-nucleotide long non-coding RNA. RefSeq lists it as uncharacterized. The transcript is spliced from 3 exons. Lineage: Eukaryota; Metazoa; Chordata; Actinopteri; Salmoniformes; Salmonidae. The record is from RefSeq and is a predicted model, not a curated record.
GUCUGAGUGGAUAGUCUGUGGGAGAGGGAGAGCAGUAGUUCUUUACCAUUUAAAGAGCGACUGACCCUAAUUCCAACGAAUCACUUUGAAAACGGUCUAUGUGGCAUCGAUAUGAGUGUCAAAAUUGACUACAAAGUGUAAAUACCAUAAUUUUGGUCAUAAAGUCAGUCUUAUCUAAAACGGAGUUUGGAAGCUCAGUGGGUCACAACGCGUUCAAAGGUCACAGCCAUUUGAGACUGAAAAGCUCUAUAUGGAUUGAUCAACUAUGGUUUGCAUGCCCUGCCAAAUGACUCUAUCAUGCGGAAUAGAUGGCUGGAGUUCGUUGGUCCCCAGUGGUGACAAAGUGCCCAGUUGGGUGCCAGACUUAUCCCCUGGUCAGGAACAGAUGCCAGGGCUUACCUCCUCCCAGCUGCCCACUGCACUGAGGCUAGCUUGUCAAGUCAGACCACAAGUCCCCUUGUGACACCACCUCCGUUGUUGCCAGUGUCCUCGACUCUUAUGAAAAGGAACAGGCCAUCAUGAGGCCUCUGAUAGUGAACCGAGUUACUGCGCUGAUGACAGACGGCUUCAUCAACAACAACGGGUAAUGUGUGUUAUGUAAAAAGUUGUAUAAAAAAAUACCCAGCUUGAUAAACUAGUUAGCUAAUUCCCCAGCCAAGCAGAUACAACUUGUGGAGUCCUUUUGGUUGUGAAGUGCAUUAGAAAAAAGCUUUGUCCUUUCUUUAGAACAAAUGCAAUUUACCACUUGGCUGUCUACUAUAUCACCCUGUGAAAGACCAUCCCAAUCAACAGCACCUCAUAAGACUGCCUGAGUUGUUGGAGAGAUGUCCAGUGUGCAGCGUAGAGAACCAGCUAGAGGGCCCUCAUCUUCAUCACACUAGAGGGCCCUCAUCUUCAUCACGCAGACAUGCCCUUGCUGUGAGCAUUCCUAUGAAUGGAACAGUCAGCCACAUGUUGGCAUGUAUUGUCGUGGUAAUUCUAACCAAAUGGAGAGAGACUGUAUCUUCAAAACAACUUUUUUAUAAUAUGUGCAAAAAUGAAUCGAUCAAUAACCACAAAGUGCAUCGUUAGGAAAGCCCAUGAACAGAGUUGUUACUCUCCUCUUGUCGAAAAAGUAUCACCUAUUUUGUCAAUGUGGCAGUUUAGCAGAUUAGCGCAACAUGGUGUGUAAAAGCUGAUUUAGCUUGUCUGUGCAGAUUAAGAUAACUGACGUUGCCACCAUUGUCCGUUCCCUCCUGCAUGUUUCCACACAUCUAAGUUCCUGAAGAUUGUUGAAACAGGAUGUCACAUACUGCAGUCGCACCCAAACGGAUGUUAUCUGUAUACCCAGACCCAUGACUAAGUCACACAAAACAAACCUGUAUUAGCAAAAUACUAAGUCCAAGUCUACCGCGUAGUAUGUCCAAUAUGACAAUAUAACAACAUUAAAUAAUUUCCUCCAGCAACCUUCACUUGUCAACAGCAACCUUCAUUUGUCAACAGCAACAUAUUUGUACAAAUACAGAACGUAACCUCAUUAUUAUUAUUUUUACCCCCUUUUCUCCCCAAUUUCGUGGGGAGAACCAAACUGCUUCUUAACACAGCGCACAUCCAACCCGGAAGCCAGCCGCACCAAUGUGUCAG